AAUUCUACAACCAUACAUCUUUGAAAAGCAGAACUGGGACCUCCUGCACAACCAGCAAGUGGUUUAUGGAUGGUAAAUCAACAAUAAACCACUUGCCUUUUCCAGCAGCCAUUGUACAGUCAACCAGCC
Xiphophorus couchianus (Monterrey platyfish) is the source of this 129-nucleotide long non-coding RNA. RefSeq lists it as uncharacterized. The record is from RefSeq and is a predicted model, not a curated record. The transcript is spliced from 3 exons. Lineage: Eukaryota; Metazoa; Chordata; Actinopteri; Cyprinodontiformes; Poeciliidae.